Molecule: ribosomal RNA, 220 nt
Filed under: uncultured bacterium
Lineage: Bacteria
Description: partial 16S ribosomal RNA
Rfam family: Bacterial small subunit ribosomal RNA
Source: RNAcentral
UUGGGCAACCUGCCCUGUACUGUGGAAUAAUCAUUGGAAACGAAUGACUAAUACCGCAUGUGGUCCUCGGAAGGCAUCUUCUGAGGAAGAAAGGAUUUAUUCGGUACAGGAUGGGCCCGCAUCUGAUUAGCUAGUUGGUGAGAUAACAGCCCACCAAGGCGACGAUCAGUAGCCGACCUGAGAGGGUGAUCGGCCACAUUGGGACUGAGACACGGCCCAA